Molecule: ribosomal RNA, 360 nt
Filed under: uncultured Acetobacteraceae bacterium
Lineage: Bacteria; Pseudomonadati; Pseudomonadota; Alphaproteobacteria; Acetobacterales; Acetobacteraceae
Description: bacterial SSU rRNA
Rfam family: Bacterial small subunit ribosomal RNA
Source: RNAcentral
AGCGAACGCUGGCGGAAUGCUUAACACAUGCAAGUCGUACGGGCAGCUUCGGCUGUCAGUGGCGGACGGGUGAGUAACGCGUAGGAACGUGUCCUGGGAUGGGGGAUAACGCUGGGAAACUGGCGCUAAUACCGCAUAUCUGCUGAGGCAGAAAGCCUUCGGGCGUCUUGGGAGCGGCCUGCGUCCGAUUAGCUUGUUGGUGGGGUAAAGGCCUACCAAGGCUUCGAUCGGUAGCUGGUCUGAGAGGAUGAUCAGCCACACUGGGACUGAGACACGGCCCAGACUCCUACGGGAGGCAGCAGUGGGGAAUAUUGGACAAUGGGCGCAAGCCUGAUCCAGCAAUUCCGCGUGGGUGAAGAA